UACGUAGGGUCCGAGCGUUGUCCGGAAUUAUUGGGCGUAAAGAGCUCGUAGGCGGUUUGUCGCGUCGGCCGUGAAAACUUGGGGCUUAACCCCAAGCUUGCGGUCGAUACGGGCAGACUUGAGUUCGGCAGGGGAGACUGGAAUUCCUGGUGUAGCGGUGAAAUGCGCAGAUAUCGGGAGGAACACCAAUGGCGAAGGCAGCUCGCUGGGACGGUACUGACGCUGAGGCGCGAAAGCGUGGGGAGCAAACAGG
This 253-nucleotide ribosomal RNA is filed under the name uncultured bacterium. Its description in RNAcentral is "partial 16S ribosomal RNA". It matches the Rfam family "Bacterial small subunit ribosomal RNA", at positions 524 to 776 of the family's 1533-position model. The record is from RNAcentral.